Molecule: ribosomal RNA, 468 nt
Filed under: uncultured bacterium
Lineage: Bacteria
Description: partial 16S ribosomal RNA
Rfam family: Bacterial small subunit ribosomal RNA
Source: RNAcentral
GACGAACGCUGGCGGCGUGCUUAACACAUGCAAGUCGAACGGAAAGGCCCUGCUUUUGUGGGGUGCUCGAGUGGCGAACGGGUGAGUAACAAGUGAGUAACCUGCCCUUGACUUUGGGAUAACUUCAGGAAACUGGGGCUAAUACCGGAUAGGAGCUCCUGCUGCAUGGUGGGGGUUGGAAAGUUUCGGCGGUUGGGGAUGGACUCGCGGCUUAUCAGCUUGUUGGUGGGGUAGUGGCUUACCAAGGCUUUGACGGGUAGCCGGCCUGAGAGGGUGACCGGCCACAUUGGGACUGAGAUACGGCCCAGACUCCUACGGGAGGCAUCAGUGGGGAAUAUUGCACAAUGGGCGGAAGCCUGAUGCAGCAACGCCGCGUGCGGGAUGACGGCCUUCGGGUUGUAAACCGCUUUCGCCUGUGACGAAGCGUGAGUGACGGUAAUGGGUAAAGAAGCACCGGCUAACUACGUG